UCCGUGAUAGCUCAGCUGGCAGAGAAUCUGCCUGCAGUGCAGAAGACCCCGGUUCGAUCCCUGGGUCGGGAA
RNAcentral lists this transfer RNA (72 nucleotides) under Capra hircus (goat). It matches the Rfam family "tRNA". Rfam says of the family: Transfer RNA (tRNA) molecules are approximately 80 nucleotides in length. Their secondary structure includes four short double-helical elements and three loops (D, anti-codon, and T loops). RNAcentral also lists the same sequence under 1 other name. The record is from Rfam by way of RNAcentral. Lineage: Eukaryota; Metazoa; Chordata; Mammalia; Artiodactyla; Bovidae.